GGCGUAAGCGCGCGCAGGCGGUUUCUUAAGUCUGAUGUGAAAGCCCCCGGCUCAACCGGGGAGGGUCAUUGGAAACUGGGGAACUUGAGUGCAGAAGAGGAGAGUGGAAUUCCACGUGUAGCGGUGAAAUGCGUAGAGAUGUGGAGGAACACCAGUGGCGAAGGCGACUCUCUGGUCUGUAACUGACGCUGAGGCGCGAAAGCGUGGGGAGCGAACAGGAUUAGAUACCCUGGUAGUCCACGCCGUAAACGAUGAGUGCUAAGUGUUAGAGGGUUUCCGCCCUUUAGUGCUGCAGCAAACGCAUUAAGCACUCCGCCUGGGGAGUACGGUCGCAAGACUGAAACUCAAAGGAAUUGACGGGGGCCCGCACAAGCGGUGGAGCAUGUGGUUUAAUUCGAAGCAACGCGAAGAACCUUACCAGGUCUUGACAUCCUCUGACAACCCUAGAGAUAGGGCUUCCCCUUCGGGGGCAGAGUGACAGGUGGUGCAUGGUUGUCGUCAGCUCGUGUCGUGAGAUGUUGGGUUAAGUCCCGCAACGAGCGCAACCCUUGAUCUUAGUUGCCAGCAUUCAGUUGGGCACUCUAAGGUGACUGCCGGUGACAAACCGGAGGAAGGUGGGGAUGACGUCAAAUCAUCAUGCCCCUUAUGACCUGGGCUACACACGUGCUACAAUGGGCAGAACAAAGGGCAGCGAAGCCGCGAGGCUAAGCCAAUCCCACAAAUCUGUUCUCAGUUCGGAUCGCAGUCUGCAACUCGACUGCGUGAAGCUGGAAUCGCUAGUAAUCGCGGAUCAGC
This 795-nucleotide ribosomal RNA is filed under the name Bacillus licheniformis. RNAcentral's name for it is "bacterial SSU rRNA". It matches the Rfam family "Bacterial small subunit ribosomal RNA", at positions 557 to 1353 of the family's 1533-position model. The record is from RNAcentral. Lineage: Bacteria; Bacillati; Bacillota; Bacilli; Caryophanales; Bacillaceae.